RNAcentral lists this ribosomal RNA (407 nucleotides) under uncultured bacterium. RNAcentral's name for it is "partial 16S ribosomal RNA". It matches the Rfam family "Bacterial small subunit ribosomal RNA", at positions 28 to 526 of the family's 1533-position model. The record is from RNAcentral.
GACGAACGCUGGCGGCGUGCUUAACACAUGCAAGUCGAACGAAGUGGCGAACGGGUGAGUAAUGCCUAGGAAUCUGACUGGUAGUGGGGGCAAACGUCCGGAAACGGGCGCUAAUACCGCAAACUAACAGAUGAGCCUAGGUCGGAUUAGCGAGGUGGUGGGGUAAAGGCCUACCAAGGAGGAAAUCCGGAACUGGUCUGAGAGGAUGAUCAGUUAAAAUGGAACUGAGACACGGUCCAGACGCCUACGGGAGGCAUCCGUGGGGAAGAGUGGACAAUGGGCGAAAGCCUGAUCCAGCCAUGCCGCGUGGGUGAAGAAGGUCUUCGGAUUGUAAAGCACUUUAAGUUGGGAGGCGUUACCAACAGAAUAAGCACCGGCUAACUUCGUGCCAGCAGCCGCGGUAAUAC